GCUGCUUUUAUUUUUGAAUCACCCUAUCCAUAGAGGGUGAUCACUAUAUCAUCGGGCUUUCCUUGCACUAGCAUUGGCCCUGCGUUCAACACCUGUGUAGCCAACAAGAGUGAUUCCUCUUCAAAUAUUCUUUUUUACAAUAGGAAGGUUUCUAAUGUUUUCUAGAUUGAAGUUUAUGCAAUGGGCAGGACAAGGACUAAAAAAAGUGUUUUUUUUCCCCUCUCUCUUUCUCUCUCUUUUAACACCUUAUUGGCUAGAACGUAGUUGCCUCUAUUGCUUGUUAUAAUUUGAAUAUACCUUUUUCCUCCCCAAUCUCAUCCACAAGAGAAUUAAGUAACUCAGAAUUUUUCUACAGUCUUCACAAGUUGGGAUCCAUCAAUAGACUUCACAAACAUUAUUGUGACUGUAGAGCUUGCUUAAAAAUUGAUCAAGGAACUGGCAUACUAAAUUAGCCAUGUUUGUCCCAGUGCUCCUUAUGGUCCUUCAACAUAUUUUAGUAAACUCCAUCUCCUUCUUGAUAAGUGGAAUUCUGAUAGGAACUCAGAAACAACAGCAGGGGCAGGGGUCACAAUAGCAAACCAGGGGUACAGGAAGAAAUAAAGCCCAAAAGAAAAGUUGCAAAACCAUCUUACCUCAACCAUUACGUCAGAGGAAGAAUGGAUGAUGAUCAGCGAAGGCACCUUAGGAAAAUCUCCUUGCUUGAUGCUGUCUGCUCCAGGGGACAAGCACUAACAAAUUUGGUUAUUACAAAUAUUCCUAGAAUCUUUCUGUUACUUGGAAGCUUAUAAAUAUAAGUAAAUAACAAGUAAGG
RNAcentral lists this long non-coding RNA (811 nucleotides) under Glycine max (soybean). RNAcentral's name for it is "long non-coding RNA (GMAX_LNC003087)". Lineage: Eukaryota; Viridiplantae; Streptophyta; Magnoliopsida; Fabales; Fabaceae. The record is from RNAcentral.